Molecule: ribosomal RNA, 496 nt
Filed under: uncultured bacterium
Lineage: Bacteria
Description: partial 16S ribosomal RNA
Rfam family: Bacterial small subunit ribosomal RNA
Source: RNAcentral
GAUGAACGCUGGCGGCGUGCCUAAUACAUGCAAGUCGAGCGAACAGAUGAGGAGCUUGCUCCUCUGACGUUAGCGGCGGACGGGUGAGUAACACGUGGAUAACCUACCUAUAAGACUGGGAUAACUUCGGGAAACCGGAGCUAAUACCGGAUAAUAUAUUGAACCGCAUGGUUCAAUAGUGAAAGACGGUUUUGCUGUCACUUAUAGAUGGAUCCGCGCCGCAUUAGCUAGUUGGUAAGGUAACGGCUUACCAAGGCAACGAUGCGUAGCCGACCUGAGAGAGUGUUCGGCCACACUGGAACUGAGACACGUUCCAGACUCCAACGGGAGGCAGCAGUGGGAAAUCUGCCGCAAUGGGCGAAAGCCGGACGGAGCAACGCCGCGUGAGUGAUGAAGGUCUUCGGAUCGUAAAACUCUGUUAUUAGGGAAGAACAAAUGUGUAAGUAACUAUGCACGUCUGGACGGUACCUAAUCAGAAAGCCACGGCUAACUACGG